Daphnia magna is the source of this 811-nucleotide long non-coding RNA. RefSeq lists it as uncharacterized. The transcript is spliced from 2 exons. NCBI's taxonomy places the organism in Eukaryota, Metazoa, Arthropoda, Branchiopoda, Diplostraca, Daphniidae. The record is from RefSeq and is a predicted model, not a curated record.
UGUCCAUGGUCGGCAUUGGACGUUCAAGUAUAAAUAGCCGGGCAAAAGUCUCAAUUUGCAUCAGUUCCUCAACUGAACACCUCCAGCUAAUAUCUUUAAUCCACUCGAAAAUGAAUUUGAUGAUUUUUCUGGCUAUCUUAGCCGUUGCUAUUGCCACCGGGGUAAAUUCAAAAAAGGAAACCAACCAUUCAAGUUUCACCUGACCAAGAUGUCGCUGAAUUUUACCGUCGAGGAUUUUAUAGCGGACAUGGGGGCCACUGGCGCGGACGUCGAUCAGCUGAGGAAGCGAAAUCGGAAUUAGAGGCUGGCGUAGAAAUUGGCAAUGAUCAAGAAGCCGGCGAAUUUUAUACCAGUCGUUUUUAUGGUAAUUAUGGCCACCCUUCAUAUUACAGUCGAUAUGGGAGUUGGCGUGGUCGUCGCUCAGCCGGAGAAGCAAAACCGGAAGUAGAGCCCAACUUUGAAGUAAUUGCUGAUCAGGAAGCCAAUGAAUUUCGCCGUGGCUAUUACGGAGGUCACCACCACGGAUAUUGGCGUGGACGUAGGUCAGUUGACGAAAACGCUAAUACCCUUCAAAUCGAACCGGAUCAAGACACAAAUGAGAAUUUUAGACGCGGUUAUUACGGCCAUUCCUACGGUAGAUACGGAUCCUGGUACGGUAGACAUUGGUAGAGUGUGCCAUUUUAAAUAACUCCCCUCCAAGCAAGGCUUGUUCCUGAUGUACGUCCCCGCUAAACGAAACCUGAUUCACAACUGCAUUUACUAUUCGUUUUGGUCUUAAUUUCACAAUAAAUAAUUUUUUUUCCCGCUUGAA